CAAAGGGAAACUAUUUAGAAGCAAGAGCUAUGAUUGAGAAGGCACAGUGAUCUCUUAUAGUGAUGAGAAGCAAGAGCUAUGAUUGAGAAGGCACAGUGAUCUCUUAUAGUGAUGAAAUUGGAGGCAUAGAUGCUGUCAUGGACAACGGCAUAAAAGGCAGCACCUAUUUGGCCUUGGUGUUGGAAAACCGAAGAUUGAGUAGUCUUUGGUGCAAACCCCUAUACAUAGGGGUAGAACGUUGCUUCACUCAACAGGAAAAGGUCAUUUCAGCACUGUUAGAUUGAGAUAGUGGAUGAUAGGAUUGGUUCCAUUUUCUUCAUUUCAGCCGACCAGCAAUUCUCUCAGCUGAUACUCCCCCUGGCAAUCAGCUUCUUUAGCUGUGCAUUAUUUGGAAUAACUUUUCUUUAUGCAAUAAGAAGAGACUGUACAAUUUUCUGCUUUAAGACACGGAUAAUUGCAGUGGGCUGUCUAAAGGUCUUGCUUCCAUGGAUGCUGGAAAACCUUGGAAUUGGAAUAUGCAAGCUUAUUUUCACAUGGUUUUGAUGGUGCAGUUUUUGUUUCCAAAAAUCUUUUCCUCUUUAUGUUUUGUGGCUGUUGCCCUGGAUUUCUGCUAUCAGAAUCUGUGUAUGCAUUGUCAAGUCUGCAAGUGGAAGUUUAUGCUUGUUUGCGAACCAUCCAGUGGGCUGCUUGACGGUUUAGCUGCACUCACAUCUUCUCUGAUCCCAGCAACUUGGUUUUGCAAUUUAAUGUGUAAUGUGUAGUAGAUUAGUAGUGAAUGACAUUAGGUCUACUAUCCAAGACAUUGUUUGGCUAAAUUUGACCUUUUUUCGUGUUGUUUUUUUUUUUUUUUUGUUUGUAAAAUAUGAGGGUGUAAACAGGCUUAAAGGGCUCACACCUUGGCUGUAAUCUAAUAAUAUAUUUUGAUGUUCUCUUUUGUUUC
Long non-coding RNA from Cornus florida, 940 nucleotides. RefSeq lists it as uncharacterized. The record is from RefSeq and is a predicted model, not a curated record. The transcript has 2 exons. NCBI's taxonomy places the organism in Eukaryota, Viridiplantae, Streptophyta, Magnoliopsida, Cornales, Cornaceae.